Molecule: long non-coding RNA, 2113 nt
Filed under: Mus musculus (house mouse)
Lineage: Eukaryota; Metazoa; Chordata; Mammalia; Rodentia; Muridae
Description: long non-coding RNA chr2:135409826-135411939
Source: RNAcentral
GGACUCUGACCUAAGCAAGCUGAUAUGUUGAUUUACCAGAAAUAGAAAGAAGCCAGAGCAAUGCUCUCAUGGGGUGGUGAGGCCAGGCUCAAGCCUGCAGUGUAGCUUCCAGACUUCUUGUCUGGACUGCAACCCCACUCCCAACCAUCCUCUUUUCCCACAUACAUCCCUCUUGUGAGUUACAGUAUACAGCAUGGAGAUUAGAUAUAGAAAUAUUUGACAAUUUAAAAUUUAUUUGUUCAUCAUAAAACACUGAAUAUAUAAAAUAUAAAGGAAUUCAGUUACUACCAUAUAUAUACGUGUGUGUGUGUAUGUAUAUAUAUGUAUAUGUAUAUGUAUAUGUAUAUGUAUAUGUAUAUGUAUAUGUAUAUGUAUAUGUAUAUGUAUAUGUAUAUGUUUGGUAUACUAUAAAACACAUAAGCCGGGCGGUGGUGGCGCACACCUUUAACCCCAGCAUUCGGGAGGCAGAAGCAGGCAGAUUUCUGAUUUUGAGGACAGCCUGGUCUACAAAGCGAGUUCCAGGACAGCCAGGGCUAUACAGAGAAACCCUGUCUUGAAAACAAACAAACAAACAAAACCCAUAAAAUAUAGAAUCAUAUUAUACAACUGAUAUAGAGAUUCUUUAGGAAUCUUGUUUCUUUCUAUAGGAUAGUUGAGAAGUGAUACUUAAUGAUUCUCCUAAAAUGAUAGUGAGAGACAGAAGAGUCAGAGGAAAACGAAGAGCAGACAGCUAUAUACAGGAGAUCACUAAAUAAUUAGAAUACAAGCAAGUGGAUAGGAGGUAACAUGGCAGUAUGUAGCUACAUGUCCAGGGCCAGGAGCUUAGGGGGAAGGUUGUCCAAAGAAGACCAAAGGAUACAAAUAUCAUUGAGUUACAAUAGAAAAUGUUUCUGCAAAGGCAUAGAUUAAUUAUCAAGACAUCCAACAUGUGUACUCAAGAACAGCAGCAGCAAAAAUGCAUCCACAUAAAAGCCCCAAACCAGAAUCUACAGUAUCUAAAGCACGAGACAAUUGCCAAACAUUUUCAGUAAGAAAACUGUAGGUGACAGAUUGAAAGCUAGCGUGGGGUCAGCUUCUCUACAGAUAAUACGGACAUGUGAAGAGCAAAGCCAUGUCUUCACAAUUCUGAAGGGGCUGACUGGAGAGUUCUGUGGCCAGGCAGGCAGAAGAGUUGAUUGAAAACAUGUCCAGACACAUGGAAAUACCAUGCAACCUACAAAUGAAACUGAAAUGUAAGACAAAGGAUGCUUGAGAGUGGAUGUGUAGGCACAGGUAAGCAUGUGAAUAAAUACAGAAGUCAUAGGUGUUUAUUUACCAACUUAAAACAUGGUUAACAUUGGAAGGACGCUGAGAUUGGAUAGGGUGUCCUGGAUACAAUACAGCUCUUUAUAUGUAUUAUUUGUCGUCUUGUUUUUCCAAAAAUAGCAUAUUCAUUCAUUUUCUGUGUGGUUUAAAAUACUCUUAAUUUACUGUAAAGAAUCUAUUACUAGUAAAAGUUUCUUUUAAGUGGGAGCUUGUUGGACCCUUAACUUUCCUCCGGCUGUCCAUCUGCAUCCACUUCUAAGGGCCUUCUUUCUAUGUCUAGCUUUUCAAACCUCCAAUUCAGCCUAAGAGAUGCCAUUAUGGUUCCUUGAUGCCAUCCUGUUUCUGCAAAUGAGCUCUUCAAGCCUGAUUGGUUCUUAGUAGACUCGGUGAUCCUGAAGUACUCCUGAAGUCACGUGUUUCUCUCAGCAUGGCAUUCCACAUCUGUGGCUGAUCUAACUGUAGGUUCUGAACAAACUUCGGUAUAUUUUUCUUCAUACAAAAAUUAUAACUACCUGAAUGUUAGUGAAAGUUAAAUUUGUAUGGUGAUUAAAUCACCACUUCAGGAAAUGAUUUAAGUUAUGAAAACAUCUAGAAAGAGAAACAGAGACAGUUAAAACUUAGGCUACAUUAAAUGUGUCUGAAGACAUCAGCAGACAGAAAGAAGCAACGGCUGUCCAGAGGAGGUGUUUCUGAGUGGAAGCAGUGCCCAAAAGCAGGGAAGAGUGAGCUGGCUUCCCCCUCGAGGGUAUCUGCUGAGGUGUUUGGACAGUGGAAGAAAAGGGAAGUCAGCCAACAUAUGAAGUGUCUC